This 343-nucleotide unclassified non-coding RNA is filed under the name soil metagenome. RNAcentral describes it as "partial contains 5.8S ribosomal RNA, internal transcribed spacer 2, and large subunit ribosomal RNA". The stretch from base 1 to 120 matches the Rfam family "5.8S ribosomal RNA", at positions 35 to 154 of the family's 154-position model. The record is from RNAcentral.
GAUGAAGAACGUAGUGAAAUGCGAUGAGUAAUGUGAAUUGCAGAAUUCGGUGAAUCAUCGAAUCUUUGAACGCACAUUGCGCCCGCCAGCAUUCUGGCGGGCAUGCCUGUUCGAGCGUCAUUUCAACCCUCGAGCCCCCCCGGGGGCCUCGGUGUUGGGGGACGGCACACCAGCCGCCCCCGAAAUGCAGUGGCGACCCCGCCGCAGCCUCCCCUGCGUAGUAGCACACACCUCGCACCGGAGCGCGGAGGCGGUCACGCCGUAAAACGCCCAACUUUCUUAGAGUUGACCUCGGAUCAGGUAGGAAUACCCGCUGAACUUAAGCAUAUCAAUAAGCGGAGGA